GACGAACGCUGGCGGCGCGCUUAACACAUGCAAGUCGAACGGAAAGGCCUGCUUUCCCUUGUGGAUUGCGGGUACUCGAGUGGCGAACGGGUGAGUAACACGUGAGUGAUCUGCCCCCAACUUGGGUAUAAGCCUGGGAAACUGGGUCUAAUUCCCGAUAGGACUGCAGGGUGGUGCCUGUGGUGGAAAACGAUUUUCUAGUGGUUGGGGAUGAGCUCGCGGCCUAUCAGCUUGUUGGUGGGGUAAUGGCCUACCAAGGCGGCGACGGGUAGCCGGCCUGAGAGGGUGGACGGCCACAUUGGGACUGAGAUACGGCCCAGACUCCUACGGGAGGCAGCAGUGGGGAAUAUUGCACAAUGGGCGGAAGCCUGAUGCAGCGACGCCGCGUGGGGGAUGACGGCCUCCGGGUUGUAAACUCCUUUCGACCGCGAGGAAGCCACCUGGUUGGAAGGGUGGUGACGGUAGUGGUAGAAGAAGCACCGGCUAACUACGUG
RNAcentral lists this ribosomal RNA (494 nucleotides) under uncultured bacterium. RNAcentral's name for it is "partial 16S ribosomal RNA". It matches the Rfam family "Bacterial small subunit ribosomal RNA", at positions 28 to 507 of the family's 1533-position model. The record is from RNAcentral.